GGGUCAGCCUUAGCUCAGCAGCUAUGUCUGCCUUCAGUUGUAGAAACAAAAUAAUUCUCGUGGGUUUUAAUCCUGCAGGUGCUUUCUGGCUUUUUU
RNAcentral lists this vault RNA (96 nucleotides) under Leptobrachium leishanense (Leishan spiny toad). Its description in RNAcentral is "Vault RNA (ENSLLEG00000006493.1)". It matches the Rfam family "Vault RNA". Rfam says of the family: This family of RNAs are found as part of the enigmatic vault ribonucleoprotein complex. The record is from Rfam by way of RNAcentral. Lineage: Eukaryota; Metazoa; Chordata; Amphibia; Anura; Megophryidae.